Molecule: ribosomal RNA, 194 nt
Filed under: uncultured bacterium
Lineage: Bacteria
Description: partial 16S ribosomal RNA
Rfam family: Bacterial small subunit ribosomal RNA
Source: RNAcentral
GCAACUCGCCUGCAUGAAGUCGGAAUUGCUAGUAAUCGUAGGUCAGCAUACUACGGUGAAUACGUUCCCGGGCCUUGUACACACCGCCCGUCAAACCAUGAGAGUUGGCAACACCCGAAGUCGGUAGUCUAACCGCAAGGAGGACGCCGCCGAAGGUGGGGUCGAUGAUUAAGGUUAAGUCGUAACAAGGUAAC